UGAGAUGUAUAUAGGGGGCUAAAAAACAAGGAACAACCUACUGAAGGAUUUCCCAGGGAGCAAGCAAGGUCCCAAGACAGCUUGAUACCAUUCUUUUGGAACCUCACGUGAGGGGAAAACUUUGGCAAUCACAAAGUUUCGACCAGCUUCAUUAGGCAUGAGAUCAUUAUCCACAUCAAGAUCAAAGAACUCGUUGCACUCCUCAAAUAAACUAUCAAGUGGUGAACCAUCUGAUCGACCCCUAUUUGAAGAAAUGAGAGAUACCUAGAAAUAAGGAGAUCAGCCGCAGCGCGGCGCCGACCAUGGCGGGCUCGGAGAGCCAGAGCCUCGCC
RNAcentral lists this small RNA (332 nucleotides) under Oryza sativa Japonica Group (Japanese rice). Its description in RNAcentral is "sRNA Os11g0220450". Lineage: Eukaryota; Viridiplantae; Streptophyta; Magnoliopsida; Poales; Poaceae. The record is from RNAcentral.